CCAGCACCCAACUUUACCACCCUCCCCCACCUCUCCCCCGAAACUCCAGCAACAAAGAAAAGUAGUCGGAGAAGGAGCGGCGACUCAGGGUCGCCCGCCCCUCCUCACCGAGGAAGGCCGAUGGAGUCUCACUCUGUUGCCCAGGCUGGAGUGCAGUGUUGUGAUCUUGGCUCACUGCAACCUCUGCCUCCCGCGUUCAAGGGAUUCUCCCUGCCUCAGCCUCAUGAGUAGCUGGGAUUACAGAGCGUCUGCCCUGUCCAAGGAGGUGAUAUGCACAGGGAGGAUGUUGGAAGCCACGACUGUAAACCAAGCUGACUGAUUUCCCU
Molecule: small RNA, 326 nt
Filed under: Homo sapiens (human)
Lineage: Eukaryota; Metazoa; Chordata; Mammalia; Primates; Hominidae
Description: RE1-silencing transcription factor variant E1a/N4b/E5 non-coding RNA
Source: RNAcentral